UCUAACGAUUACUAUUGGGUAGCAAUAUUCGGUAGUGAAAGUGGCGCAAGGGUGCGUAACACGUGGGUAAUUUGCCGUAAAGUCUGGGACAACUUGCUGAAAGGCGAGCUAAUACCGGAUGUGAUUUCUGGAAGGCAUCUUCUGGAACUUAAAGUCGGGGACCGUAAGGCCUGACACUUUUCGAUAAGCCCGCGGCCUAUCAGCUAGUUGGUGAGGUAACGGCUCACCAAGGCUAAGACGGGUAGCUGGUCUGAGAGGACGACCAGCCACACUGGAACUGAGACACGGUCCAGACACCUACGGGUGGCAGCAGUCGAGAAUUUUUCUCUAUGGGGGAAACCCUGAAGGAGCGACGCCGCGUGGGGGAUGAAUGGCUUCGGCCCGUAAACCCCUGUCAUUUGCGAUCAAACCUUACGACCUACACGUCGUAAGCUGAUAGUAGCGGAAGAGGAAGGGACGGCUAACUCUGUGCCAGCAGCCCGCGGUAAUACAGAGGUCCCAAGCGUUGUUCGGAUUCACUGGGCGUAAAGGGUGCGUAGGCGGUCGGGUAAGUCUGACGUGAAAUCUUCAAGCUCAACUUGGAAACUGCGUCGGAUACUACUCGGCUAGAGGAAUGGAGGGGAGACUGGAAUACUUUGGUGUAGCAGUGAAAUGCGUAUAUAUCAAGUGGAACACCAGUGGCG
This 683-nucleotide ribosomal RNA is filed under the name uncultured Verrucomicrobiota bacterium. RNAcentral's name for it is "bacterial SSU rRNA". It matches the Rfam family "Bacterial small subunit ribosomal RNA", at positions 62 to 717 of the family's 1533-position model. The record is from RNAcentral. Lineage: Bacteria; Pseudomonadati; Verrucomicrobiota.